AAGCUAUACUGCAAGUUAGCUUAUAAGUGCUAUGUUUUUGUUCCCUCUGCUCACAUUAAGGUUGUUUCCUAACUAUACCUCGCUGCUUCCCCUGUAGCAGAGAGGAACACUUGGUCUCAUACAU
Molecule: small nucleolar RNA, 124 nt
Filed under: Dipodomys ordii (Ord's kangaroo rat)
Lineage: Eukaryota; Metazoa; Chordata; Mammalia; Rodentia; Heteromyidae
Description: Small nucleolar RNA SNORA63 (ENSDORG00000021878.2)
Source: RNAcentral